GUGGGGAAUCUUCCGCAAUGGACGAAAGUCUGACGGAGCAACGCCGCGUGAGUGAUGAAGGUCUUCGGAUUGUAAAGCUCUGUUAAUCGGGACGAAAGAGCCUAGUGUGAAUAAUGCUAGGAAGUGACGGUACCGGAAUAGAAAGCCACGGCUAACUACGUGCCAGCAGCCGCGGUAAUACGUAGGUGGCAAGCGUUGUCCGGAAUUAUUGGGCGUAAAGCGCGCGCAGGCGGAUCUGCCAGUCUGUCUUAAAAGUUCGGGGCUUAACCCCGUGAUGGGAUGGAAACUACAGAUCUAGAGUAUCGGAGAGGAAAGUGGAAUUCCUAGUGUAGCGGUGAAAUGCGUAGAUAUUAGGAAGAACACCAGUGGCGAAGGCGACUUUCUGGACGAAAACUGACGCUGAGGCGCGAAAGCCAGGGGAGCGAACGGGAUUAGAAACCCCUGUAGUCC
RNAcentral lists this ribosomal RNA (450 nucleotides) under uncultured bacterium. RNAcentral's name for it is "partial 16S ribosomal RNA". It matches the Rfam family "Bacterial small subunit ribosomal RNA", at positions 354 to 796 of the family's 1533-position model. The record is from RNAcentral.